Molecule: long non-coding RNA, 161 nt
Filed under: Bos indicus x Bos taurus (hybrid cattle)
Lineage: Eukaryota; Metazoa; Chordata; Mammalia; Artiodactyla; Bovidae
Description: lncRNA (ENSBIXG00000007286.1)
Source: RNAcentral
UCAAAUGACUCAUUAACAGAAAACCACGUGAGAUACCAACACAUCACAAGAGCUUCUUAACAACGACGAACCAUUAAUACCUACCCUGCUUCUUCAUCCCCAGCAACUCCACAACCUUGGCUCAGUCCUGGCUCAAAGGGAAGAAUGCAAAGAAGGAUCAU